Molecule: ribosomal RNA, 495 nt
Filed under: uncultured bacterium
Lineage: Bacteria
Description: SSU rRNA
Rfam family: Bacterial small subunit ribosomal RNA
Source: RNAcentral
AGAGCGAACGCUGGCGGCGUACUUAACACAUGCAAGUCGAACGAGGAUCUUCAGUGUAGCAAUACAUCGGAGGUUCUAGUGGCGCACGGGUGAGUAACACGUGGGUGACCUGCCCUUGAGCUCGGGAUACCCCCUCGAAAGGGGGGCUAAUACCGGAUACGUUCCUCGGUCGAAAGACUGAGGAGGAAAGGUGGCGCAAGCUGCCGCUCUUGGAGGGGCUCGCGGCCUAUCAGCUAGUUGGCGGGGUAACGGCCCACCAAGGCUAUGACGGGUAGCUGGUCUGAGAGGACGACCAGCCACACGGGGGACUGAGACACGGCCCCGACUCCUACGGGAGGCAGCAGUGGGGAAUUUUCCGCAAUGGGCGAAAGCCUGACGGAGUGACGCCGCGUGUGGGACGAAGGCCUUCGGGUCGUAAACCCCUUUCGGCAGGGACGAAGCGAACGUGACGGUACCUGCAGAAGAAGUCCCGGCUAACUACGUGCCAGCAGCCGC